Molecule: ribosomal RNA, 2882 nt
Rfam family: Bacterial large subunit ribosomal RNA
GGGCUUACGGGGGAUACCUAGGUAUUCAGAGGCGAAGAAGGACGCGGUUACCGGCGAAACGCUUCGGGGAGCUGGAAACAAGCUAUAAUCCGUAGAUAUCCGAAUGAGGAAACUUUUUAAACUAUCUACCGAAUUCAUAGGUAGAAAAGAGCGAACCUAGCGAAUUGAAACAUCUUAGUAGCUAGAGGAAAAGAAAGUAAAAACGAUUCCCUUAGUAGCGGCGAGCGAACUGGGAGAAGCCUAAACUUUUUCCUUAAAUACAAAUUUAAGAAAAAAGAGUUGUGGGACAAUUAAAAACGAAUCGUAAUUUUAAGUUAGAUGAAUUAGUUGGAAUACUAAAUCAUAGAAAGUGACAAUCUUGUAGUCGAAAACUUAAAGCUAUUUAAAUUGUAUCCCGAGUAGCAUGGGGCACGUGAAAUCCCGUGUGAAUCCGCGAGGACCACCUCGUAAGGCUAAAUACUACUGAAUAACCGAUAGUGAAACAGUACCGUGAGGGAAAGGUGAAAAGAACCCCGGGAGGGGAGUGAAAAGAACAUGAAACCGUAAGCUUACAAGCAGUAGAAGGACGACUUAUAACGUCUGCCUGCGUGCCUGUUGAAGAAUGAGCCGGCGACUUGUAUUUGGUGGCAUGGUUAAGGUAAGAAAUACCGGAGCCAUAGUGAAAGCGAGUCUGAAUAGGGCGUUAUGUCACCAAUUACGGACCCGAACCCGGAUGAUCUAACCAUGACCAGGAUGAAGCUUCGGUAAUACUAAGUGGAGGUCCGAACUGACUGAUGUUGAAAAAUCAGCAGAUGAGUUGUGGUUAGGGGUGAAAUGCCAAUCGAAUUCGGAGCUAGCUGGUUCUCCCCGAAAUGUGUUUAGGCGCAGCGGUUAGUGUUAUAGCUUAGGGGUAAAGCACUGUUUCGGUGCGGGCUGGUAAUUCGGUACCAAAUCGACGCAAACUCUGAAUACUAAGUGUAUAGCUAACCAGUAAGACUAUGGGGGAUAAGCUCCAUUGUCAAGAGGGAAACAGCCCAGAUCACCAGCUAAGGCCCCUAAAUAAUUGCUAAGUGAUAAAGGAGGUGGGAAGACUCAGACAACCAGGAGGUUUGCUUAGAAGCAGCAAUCCUUUAAAGAGUGCGUAAUAGCUCACUGGUCGAGUAAUCCUGCGCCAAAAAUGAAUGGGACUAAGUAAUUUGCCGAAGCUGUGAGAUAUUAAAAAAAUAUAUAUUAUAUCGGUAGGGGAGCGUUCUGUUAUAGAUUGAAGCGUUAGCGUAAGCGGGCGUGGACGAAACAGAAGUGAGAAUGUCGGCUUGAGUAGCGAAAACAUAGGUGAGAAUCCAAUGCCCUGAAAACCUAAGGUUUCCUCCGGAAGGCUCGUCCGCGGGGGGUAAGUCAGGACCUAAGGCGAGGCUGAAAAGCGUAGUCGAUGGACAAUAGGUUUUAUUCCUAUACUAUUCUUUAUUGACAACGAGGGACGAAGAAAGCUAAACUAGCCAACUAAUGGUUAUUGGUUUAAAUGUACAAGGUGUUGAGAAGUAGAGAAAAUACUUUGAGCUAAGUCAUGAAUACGGAAUAACGUGCGCGUUAUAUGAAGUAGUUGAUGUUAUACUUCCAAGAAAAGCUUGCACUGUCAUAAAUAAAGAAUACCUGUACCCUAAACCGACACAGGUAGGUUGGUAGAGUAUACCAAAGGGCGCGAGAUAACUCUCUCUAAGGAACUCGGCAAAAUAGCCCUGUAACUUCGGGAAAAGGGGUACCUUUUAGGUUGCAAUAACAAGGUCCAAGCGACUGUUUACCAAAAACACAGGUCUCCGCUAAGUUGUAAAACAACGUAUGGGGGCUGACGCCUGCCCAGUGCCGGAAGGUUAAAGAAGUUGGUUAGUUUAUGACGACGCUAAUAACUGAAGCCCCGGUGAACGGCGGCCGUAACUAUAACGGUCCUAAGGUAGCGAAAUUCCUUGUCGGGUAAGUUCCGACCUGCACGAAUGGCAUAAUGAUGGCGGCGCUGUCUCCAGCAGAGACUCAGUGAAAUCGAAAUCGCAGUGAAGAUGCUGUGUACCCGCGGCUAGACGGAAAGACCCCGUGAACCUUUACUACAGCUUUACAUUGAACUUUGACCUUACCUGUGUAGGAUAGGUGGGAGGCUUUGAAGCAGGCACGCCAGUGUCUGUGGAGCCAUCCUUGAAAUACCACCCUGGUAAUGUUGGGGUUCUAACUCAAGCUUAACAGAGCUGAGGACAAUGUAUGGUGGGUAGUUUGACUGGGGCGGUCUCCUCCUAAAGAGUAACGGAGGAGUACGAAGGUGCGCUCAGAACGGUCGGAAAUCGUUCGAAGAGUAUAAAGGCAAAAGCGCGCUUAACUGCGAGACCCACAAGUCGAGCAGAUACGAAAGUAGGUCUUAGUGAUCCGGUGGUUCUGUAUGGAAGGGCCAUCGCUCAACGGAUAAAAGGUACUCUGGGGAUAACAGGCUGAUACCGCCCAAGAGUUCAUAUCGACGGCGGUGUUUGGCACCUCGAUGUCGGCUCAUCUCAUCCUGGGGCUGAAGCAGGUCCCAAGGGUAUGGCUGUUCGCCAUUUAAAGAGGUACGCGAGCUGGGUUUAGAACGUCGUGAGACAGUUCGGUCCCUAUCUACCGUGGGCGUUGGAAAUUUGAGAGGAUCUGCUCCUAGUACGAGAGGACCAGAGUGGACGAACCUCUGGUGUUUCGGUUGUGACGCCAGUCGCAUUGCCGAGUAGCUAUGUUCGGAUGGGAUAACCGCUGAAAGCAUCUAAGCGGGAAGCCCACCUUAAGAUUAGAUUUCCCUAAAGAGCCGUUGUAGACUACGACGUUGAUAGGUUGGGUGUGGAAGCAUAGUGAUAUGUGUAGCUAACCAAUACUAAUUGCUCGUUUGGCUUGACUAU